AGAGUUUGAUCAGGGCUCAGAUUGAACGCUGGCGGCAGGCCUAACACAUGCAAGUCGAACGGUAACAGGAAACAGCUUGCUGUUUCGCUGACGAGUGGCGGACGGGUGAGUAAUGUCUGGGAAACUGCCUGAUGGAGGGGGACAACUACUGGAAACGGUAGCUAAUACCGCAUAACGUCGCAAGACCAAAGAGGGGGACCUUCGGGCCUCUUGCCAUCAGAUGUGCCCAGAUGGGAUUAGCUAGUAGGUGGGGUAACGGCUCACCUAGGCGACGAUCCCUAGCUGGUCUGAGAGGAUGACCAGCCACACUGGAACUGAGACACGGUCCAGACUCCUACGGGAGGCAGCAGUGGGGAAUAUUGCACAAUGGGCGCAAGCCUGAUGCAGCCAUGCCGCGUGUAUGAAGAAGGCCUUCGGGUUGUAAAGUACUUUCAGCGGGGAGGAAGGGAGUAAAGUUAAUACCUUUGCUCAUUGACGUUACCCGCAGAAGAAGCACCGGCUAACUCCGUGCCAGCAGCCGCGGUAAUACGGAGGGUGCAAGCGUUAAUCGGAAUUACUGGGCGUAAAGCGCACGCAGGCGGUUUGUUAAGUCAGAUGUGAAAUCCCCGGGCUCAACCUGGGAACUGCAUCUGAUACUGGCAAGCUUGAGUCUCGUAGAGGGGGGUAGAAUUCCAGGUGUAGCGGUGAAAUGCGUAGAGAUCUGGAGAAAUACCGGUGGCGAAGGCGGCCCCCUGGACGAAGACUGACGCUCAGGUGCGAAAGCGUGGGGAGCAAACAGGAUUAGAUACCCUGGUAGUCCACGCCGUAAACGAUGUCGACUUGGAGGUUGUGCCCUUGAGGCGUGGCUUCCGGAGCUAACGCGUUAAGUCGACCGCCUGGGGAGUACGGCCGCAAGGUUAAAACUCAAAUGAAUUGACGGGGGCCCGCACAAGCGGUGGAGCAUGUGGUUUAAUUCGAUGCAACGCGAAGAACCUUACCUGGUCUUGACAUCCACGGAAGUUUUCAGAGAUGAGAAUGUGCCUUCGGGAACCGUGAGACAGGUGCUGCAUGGCUGUCGUCAGCUCGUGUUGUGAAAUGUUGGGUUAAGUCCCGCAACGAGCGCAACCCUUAUCCUUUGUUGCCAGCGGUCCGGCCGGGAACUCAAAGGAGACUGCCAGUGAUAAACUGGAGGAAGGUGGGGAUGACGUCAAGUCAUCAUGGCCCUUACGACCAGGGCUACACACGUGCUACAAUGGCGCAUACAAAGAGAAGCGACCUCGCGAGAGCAAGCGGACCUCAUAAAGUGCGUCGUAGUCCGGAUUGGAGUCUGCAACUCGACUCCAUGAAGUCGGAAUCGCUAGUAAUCGUGGAUCAGAAUGCCACGGUGAAUACGUUCCCGGGCCUUGUACACACCGCCCGUCACACCAUGGGAGUGGGUUGCAAAAGAAGUAGGUAGCUUAACCUUCGGGAGGGCGCUUACCACUUUGUGAUUCAUGACUGGGGUGAAGUCGUAACAAGGUAACCGUAGGGGAACCUGCGGUUG
This 1522-nucleotide ribosomal RNA is filed under the name metagenome. RNAcentral describes it as "bacterial SSU rRNA". It matches the Rfam family "Bacterial small subunit ribosomal RNA". The record is from RNAcentral.